RNAcentral lists this ribosomal RNA (508 nucleotides) under Otmaroxanthus balboai. RNAcentral describes it as "partial 16S ribosomal RNA". It matches the Rfam family "Bacterial large subunit ribosomal RNA", at positions 1834 to 2589 of the family's 2925-position model. Lineage: Eukaryota; Metazoa; Arthropoda; Malacostraca; Decapoda; Platyxanthidae. The record is from RNAcentral.
UUUGAGGAUAUAUAUAGUCUAACCUGCUCACUGAUAAAAUUUAUUUAAGAGCCGCGGUAUAUUGACCGUGCAAAGGUAGCAUAAUCAUUAGUUUUUUAAUUGGAAGCUUGUAUGAAUGGUUGGACAAAGGAAAAACUGUCUCUAUUAUAAAAAUUGAAUUUAACUUUUAAGUGAAAAGGCUUAAAUAUUUCAAGGGGACGAUAAGACCCUAUAAAGCUUUAUAUAUUAACUAAAUUUGAUUAAAUUAAUAUAUAAAAGUUUAAUUUAGUUGUUAUAUUUUAUUGGGGCGAUAUAAGUAUAAUUAAUUUAACUGCUUAAUUAAUUAAACAAUAAUAAAUGAUUUUUUAGUGAUUGAUCCUUUUUUAAAGAUUAAAAGACUAAGUUACUUUAGGGAUAACAGCGUUAUUUUUUUUGAGAGUUCAUAUCGAAAAAGAAGUUUGCGACCUCGAUGUUGAAUUAAAAUGUCUAUAUAAUGCAGCUGUUAUAUAAGAAGGUCUGUUCGACCUUU